Molecule: long non-coding RNA, 1009 nt
Organism: Apis mellifera (honey bee)
Lineage: Eukaryota; Metazoa; Arthropoda; Insecta; Hymenoptera; Apidae
Exons: 4
Source: RefSeq, a predicted model, not a curated record
UUUUAUUAUAUAUAUUAUUAUAAAAUUUUCGAAAUCAAACGAUUAUGUUGUAGCCACGUUACGUCUAACAUGGAGUAGGGUUCCAUGUGAUCACAAUCCGAUAUUGACUCGAGAGUAUUCGGAUAAGUCCGGAUUCAUUCGUUUUCAUUCGUUCAUAUACAACGUUGAAAUUCUUUGCAUUAUUCUUUGUUAUCGAAAUUUCAGGUCUUUUUAUAUAUUUUUCUAUUUUUCAUCUAUAUUUUUUUUGGUGUUGAAGUUAAUCAUUUACUUUAUCGACCACAUAAAAAUUGGUAUUUGUUAUACACGUGACAAUAAACGAGAAAUUCCAUUCUUUUGUUGAGAAUAUACUGAAGCAGUGAAUUAUAAAUACAUCAUUGUUAAAACAUCGUGAAAUAAAAGAUGGAAAAGUAUACAAUAGGUUAGAAACCAUGGAAUUGCAAAGGAUUAAGAAAUAUGAAAGUCAUCUUGAAGUUUUUAAAUAGCAUUUCAUAUUUUCUUUGUAGUGUGAUAAUAACUUCAAUUCUGCAGUAAAUUAGAACAUACAAAUAAUAUAGAAACUAUAUCAAAUAAAGUAGAUCAUUUGACUUCUAUAGUCCAUGGCAUAAUCAGGAAUUAAGAAAAUUCACAUAUGAGAAAAGAGAAAAAUAAGUAGUCGUUAAAUAAAGGUUAUAUAAUGAAAGGAAAUGAGAAAUGAACGAGUAUUUAUUUAUUAUUAUUUGUAUGCAUAUAUUUAUUAAUCUCAGUUUUCACAAGACACGAAGUGUAUCCUGUAUGCUUUGAAGAAUGGAAUUUUAACAAUGAAUGGAAUAUUAUCAUUAUCUUCUUUUUGAUAGAACCAACGCAUAUUUCAUUUAAUAUGAGAUAUUAAGUUUAUAUAUUUAAAUAUUUAAAUAUUAAAUAUUUUAUUUAUAUUGUAUUUAACAAUUAGUGUUUUAUUAGUUUCUAUCUAGUGUACUAUGUAUUUAUUGCUACUAAAUGUUAACAAUUAUAAUAAAUAAUUAAAUAUUAA